This 700-nucleotide ribosomal RNA is filed under the name Streptomyces spectabilis. RNAcentral describes it as "bacterial SSU rRNA". It matches the Rfam family "Bacterial small subunit ribosomal RNA", at positions 135 to 846 of the family's 1533-position model. The record is from RNAcentral. Lineage: Bacteria; Bacillati; Actinomycetota; Actinomycetes; Kitasatosporales; Streptomycetaceae.
ACUCUGGGACAAGCCCUGGAAACGGGGUCUAAUACCGGAUACGACACGGGGUCGCAUGAUCUCCGUGUGGAAAGCUCCGGCGGUGAAGGAUGAGCCCGCGGCCUAUCAGCUAGUUGGUGAGGUGAUGGCUCACCAAGGCGACGACGGGUAGCCGGCCUGAGAGGGCGACCGGCCACACUGGGACUGAGACACGGCCCAGACUCCUACGGGAGGCAGCAGUGGGGAAUAUUGCACAAUGGGCGAAAGCCUGAUGCAGCGACGCCGCGUGAGGGAUGACGGCCUUCGGGUUGUAAACCUCUUUCAGCAGGGAAGAAGCGAAAGUGACGGUACCUGCAGAAGAAGCGCCGGCUAACUACGUGCCAGCAGCCGCGGUAAUACGUAGGGCGCAAGCGUUGUCCGGAAUUAUUGGGCGUAAAGAGCUCGUAGGCGGCUUGUCACGUCGGUUGUGAAAGCCCGGGGCUUAACCCCGGGUCUGCAGUCGAUACGGGCAGGCUAGAGUGUGGUAGGGGAGAUCGGAAUUCCUGGUGUAGCGGUGAAAUGCGCAGAUAUCAGGAGGAACACCGGUGGCGAAGGCGGAUCUCUGGGCCAUUACUGACGCUGAGGAGCGAAAGCGUGGGGAGCGAACAGGAUUAGAUACCCUGGUAGUCCACGCCGUAAACGGUGGGAACUAGGUGUUGGCGACAUUCCACGUCGUCGGUGC